This 898-nucleotide ribosomal RNA is filed under the name uncultured bacterium. RNAcentral describes it as "bacterial SSU rRNA". It matches the Rfam family "Bacterial small subunit ribosomal RNA", at positions 8 to 904 of the family's 1533-position model. The record is from RNAcentral.
AGAGUUUGAUCCUGGCUCAGGAUGAACGCUAGCGGCAGGCCUAACACAUGCAAGUCGAGGGGUAACGAUGGAGCUUGCUCCAGGCGACGACCGGCGCACGGGUGAGUAUCGCGUUUGUAACCUACCUUUAACUGGAAGAUAGCCCGAAGAAAUUCGGAUUAAUAUUCCAUAAUACUAUAGUUUGGCAUCAUUUUAUAGUUAAAGCUCCGGCGGUUAAAGAUGGGCAUGCGUAACAUUAGCUUGUUGGUGAGGUAAGAGCUCACCAAGGCUACGAUGUUUAGGGGGUCUGAGAGGAUGGUCCCCCACACUGGUACUGAGACACGGACCAGACUCCUACGGGAGGCAGCAGUGAGGAAUAUUGGUCAAUGGGCGAAAGCCUGAACCAGCCAUGCCGCGUGAAGGAUGACGGCCCUACGGGUUGUAAACUUCUUUUAUACGAGAAGAAACCACUCUACGUGUAGAGUGCUGACGGUAUCGUAUGAAUAAGCAUCGGCUAACUCCGUGCCAGCAGCCGCGGUAAUACGGAGGAUGCAAGCGUUAUCCGGAUUUAUUGGGUUUAAAGGGUGCGUAGGCGGAAGAUUAAGUCAGUGGUGAAAUCCUGCAGCUCAACUGUAGAACUGUCAUUGAUACUGAUUUUCUUGAAUACAGUUGAGGUAGGCGGAAUAUGUAAUGUAGCGGUGAAAUGCUUAGAUAUUACAUAGAACACCGAUUGCGAAGGCAGCUUACUAAACUGUGAUUGACGCUGAGGCACGAAAGCGUGGGGAGCGAACAGGAUUAGAUACCCUGGUAGUCCACGCCGUAAACGAUGAUUACUCGCUGUUGGCAAUACAUCGUCAGCGACUGAGCGAAAGCAUUAAGUAAUCCACCUGGGGAGUACGAUCGCAAGAUUGAAACUCAA